This 69-nucleotide transfer RNA is filed under the name Dalbulus maidis (maize leafhopper). Its description in RNAcentral is "tRNA-Asp". It matches the Rfam family "tRNA". From Rfam's summary of the family: Transfer RNA (tRNA) molecules are approximately 80 nucleotides in length. Their secondary structure includes four short double-helical elements and three loops (D, anti-codon, and T loops). Further hydrogen bonds mediate the characteristic L-shaped molecular structure. tRNAs have two regions of fundamental functional importance: the anti-codon, which is responsible for specific mRNA codon recognition, and the 3' end, to which the tRNAs corresponding amino acid is attached (by aminoacyl-tRNA synthetases). tRNAs cope with the degeneracy of the genetic code in two manners: having more than one tRNA (with a specific anti-codon) for a particular amino acid; and 'wobble' base-pairing, i.e. permitting non-standard base-pairing at the 3rd anti-codon position. Lineage: Eukaryota; Metazoa; Arthropoda; Insecta; Hemiptera; Cicadellidae. The record is from RNAcentral.
AAUAAGUUAGUUUAACAUUAAAACAUAAGUUUGUCAAACUUAUAAUACUAAUUAUUUUUGUACUUAUUU